RNAcentral lists this ribosomal RNA (696 nucleotides) under Bacillus altitudinis. RNAcentral's name for it is "bacterial SSU rRNA". It matches the Rfam family "Bacterial small subunit ribosomal RNA", at positions 57 to 737 of the family's 1533-position model. The record is from RNAcentral. Lineage: Bacteria; Bacillati; Bacillota; Bacilli; Caryophanales; Bacillaceae.
GCAGUCGAGCGGACAGAAGGGAGCUUGCUCCCGGAUGUUAGCGGCGGACGGGUGAGUAACACGUGGGUAACCUGCCUGUAAGACUGGGAUAACUCCGGGAAACCGGAGCUAAUACCGGAUAGUUCCUUGAACCGCAUGGUUCAAGGAUGAAAGACGGUUUCGGCUGUCACUUACAGAUGGACCCGCGGCGCAUUAGCUAGUUGGUGAGGUAACGGCUCACCAAGGCGACGAUGCGUAGCCGACCUGAGAGGGUGAUCGGCCACACUGGGACUGAGACACGGCCCAGACUCCUACGGGAGGCAGCAGUAGGGAAUCUUCCGCAAUGGACGAAAGUCUGACGGAGCAACGCCGCGUGAGUGAUGAAGGUUUUCGGAUCGUAAAGCUCUGUUGUUAGGGAAGAACAAGUGCAAGAGUAACUGCUUGCACCUUGACGGUACCUAACCAGAAAGCCACGGCUAACUACGUGCCAGCAGCCGCGGUAAUACGUAGGUGGCAAGCGUUGUCCGGAAUUAUUGGGCGUAAAGGGCUCGCAGGCGGUUUCUUAAGUCUGAUGUGAAAGCCCCCGGCUCAACCGGGGAGGGUCAUUGGAAACUGGGAAACUUGAAUGCAGAAGAGGAGAGUGGAAUUCCACGUGUAGCGGUGAAAUGCGUAGAGAUGUGGAGGAACACCAGUGGCGAAGGCGACUCUCUGGUCUGU